This 467-nucleotide ribosomal RNA is filed under the name uncultured bacterium. RNAcentral describes it as "partial 16S ribosomal RNA". It matches the Rfam family "Bacterial small subunit ribosomal RNA", at positions 28 to 506 of the family's 1533-position model. The record is from RNAcentral.
GACGAACGCUGGCGGCGUGCUUAACACAUGCAAGUCGAACGGAAAGGCCCUGCUUUUGUGGGGUUCUCGAGUGGCGAACGGGUGAGUAACACGUGAGUAACCUGCCCUUGACUUUGGGAUAACUUCAGGAAACUGGGGCUACUACCGGAUAGGAGCUCCUGCUCCAUGGUGGGCGUUGGAAAGUUUCGGCGGUUGCGGAUGGACUCGCGGCUUAUCAGCUUGUUGGUGGGGUAGUGGCUUACCAAGGCUUUGACGGGUAGCCGGACUGAGAGGGUGACCGGCCACAGAGGGACUGGGAUAGGGCCAGGGCUGAUACGGGAGGCAGCAGUGGAGAAUUUAGCAAGAUGGGCGGAGGGCUGAAGGAGCAACGCCGCGUGCGGGAUGACGGCCGUCGGGUUGGAAAACGAUUUGGCCUGUGACGAAGCGUGAGUGACGGUAAUGGGUAAAGAAGCACCGGUAAACUACGU